Molecule: ribosomal RNA, 864 nt
Filed under: uncultured bacterium
Lineage: Bacteria
Description: bacterial SSU rRNA
Rfam family: Bacterial small subunit ribosomal RNA
Source: RNAcentral
GAUGAACGCUAGCGGGAGGCCUAACACAUGCAAGUCGAACGGGAUCCAUGAGCAAUCGUGGUGAGAGUGGCGCACGGGUGAGUAACGCGUAUGCAACCUACCUUUAACUGAGGGAUAGCCCAUAGAAAUGUGGAUUAAUACCUCAUAGUUCUGCGAAGCCGCAUGGUUUUGCAGAUAAAGCUCCGGCGGUUAAAGAUGGGCAUGCGUGACAUUAGUUAGUUGGUGAGGUAACGGCUCACCAAGACUACGAUGUCUAGGGGUUCUGAGAGGAUGAUCCCCCACACUGGUACUGAGACACGGACCAGACUCCUACGGGAGGCAGCAGUGAGGAAUAUUGGUCAAUGGGCGCAAGCCUGAACCAGCCAUCCCGCGUGCAGGAUGAAGGCCCUAUGGGUCGUAAACUGCUUUUAUACACCAAGAAAAAUCCCGACGUGUCGGGACCCGACGGUAGUGUAUGAAUAAGCAUCGGCUAACUCCGUGCCAGCAGCCGCGGUAAUACGGAGGAUGCAAGCGUUAUCCGGAUUCAUUGGGUUUAAAGCGUGCGUAGGCGGCUUUUUAAGUCAGUGGUGAAAUCUUGCCGCUUAACGGUAAAAUUGCCAUUGAUACUGAAGAGCUUGAGUACAGUUAGGUAAGCGGAAUGUGUAGUGUAGCGGUGAAAUGCUUAGAUAUUACACAGGACACCGAUUGCGAAGGCAGCUUACUAAGCUGUUACUGACGCUGAUGCACGAAAGCGUGGGGAGCGAACAGGAUUAGAUACCCUGGUAGUCCACGCCGUAAACGAUGAUCACUCGCUGUAUGCGAUACACAGUAUGCGGCCAAGCGAAAGCAUUAAGUGAUCCACCUGGGGAGUACGAUCGCAAGGUG